CCUACGGGAGGCAGCAGUGAGGAAUAUUGGUCAAUGGACGAGAGUCUGAACCAGCCAAGUAGCGUGAAGGAUGACUGCCCUAUGGGUUGUAAACUUCUUUUAUAAAGGAAUAAAACGAGGCACGUGUGCCUUUUUGCAUGUACUUUAUGAAUAAGGAUCGGCUAACUCCGUGCCAGCAGCCGCGGUAAUACGGAGGAUCCGAGCGUUAUCCGGAUUUAUUGGGGUUAAAGGGAGCGUAGAUGGGUUGUUAAGUCAGUUGUGAAAGGUUGCGGCUCAACCGUAAAAUUGCAAUUGAUACUGGCAGUCUUGAGUACAGUUGAGGUAGGCGGAAUUCGUGGUGUAGCGGUGAAAUGCUUAGAUAUCACGAAGAACCCCGAUUGCGAAGGCAGCUUACUAAACUGUGACUGACAUUGAUGCUCGAAAGUGUGGGUAUCAAACAGGAUUAGAUACCCGGGUAGUC
This 460-nucleotide ribosomal RNA is filed under the name uncultured bacterium. Its description in RNAcentral is "partial 16S ribosomal RNA". It matches the Rfam family "Bacterial small subunit ribosomal RNA", at positions 338 to 795 of the family's 1533-position model. The record is from RNAcentral.